RNAcentral lists this ribosomal RNA (253 nucleotides) under uncultured bacterium. Its description in RNAcentral is "partial 16S ribosomal RNA". It matches the Rfam family "Bacterial small subunit ribosomal RNA", at positions 524 to 776 of the family's 1533-position model. The record is from RNAcentral.
UACGUAGGGUGCAAGCGUUAAUCGGAAUUACUGGGCGUAAAGCGUGCGCAGGCGGCUUUGCAAGACAGAUGUGAAAUCCCCGGGCUUAACCUGGGAACUGCAUUUGUGACUGCAUGGCUAGAGUGCAGCAGAGGGGGAUGGAAUUCCGCGUGUAGCAGUGAAAUGCGUAGAUAUGCGGAGGAACACCGAUGGCGAAGGCAAUCCCCUGGGCCUGCACUGACGCUCAUGCACGAAAGCGUGGGGAGCAAACAGG